Molecule: small nucleolar RNA, 129 nt
Organism: Cavia porcellus (domestic guinea pig)
Lineage: Eukaryota; Metazoa; Chordata; Mammalia; Rodentia; Caviidae
Source: Ensembl
CUGGCCCUGAAUCAAGGCCAGCAGUUUCCUGAUGCUGAAGCAGGAGCCUAAAGAGAUGUCUCUCUAUGGUCUGUUGGGCAUUUCAGAACUUAGGCGGUAAAAUAGUCAAUUUGUUAGAAAGAAACAGCU